CGAACGGGUGAGUAACGCGUGAGGAACCUGCCUCAAAGAGGGGGACAACAGUUGGAAACGGCUGCUAAUACCGCAUAAGCCCACGGCUCGGCAUCGAGCAGAGGGAAAAGGAGCAAUCCGCUUUGAGAUGGCCUCGCGUCCGAUUAGCUAGUUGGUGAGGUAAUGGCCCACCAAGGCAACGAUCGGUAGCCGGACUGAGAGGGUGACCGGCCACAUUGGGACUGAGACACGGCCCAA
This 237-nucleotide ribosomal RNA is filed under the name uncultured bacterium. Its description in RNAcentral is "partial 16S ribosomal RNA". It matches the Rfam family "Bacterial small subunit ribosomal RNA", at positions 99 to 334 of the family's 1533-position model. The record is from RNAcentral.